Long non-coding RNA from Astyanax mexicanus (Mexican tetra), 2021 nucleotides. RefSeq lists it as uncharacterized. The record is from RefSeq and is a predicted model, not a curated record. NCBI's taxonomy places the organism in Eukaryota, Metazoa, Chordata, Actinopteri, Characiformes, Acestrorhamphidae. The transcript is spliced from 4 exons.
GAGAGACGGUCUGAUACUGUGAACCCAAAGCAGUUUUAUACACAGUGGUUAAAUUGACAUUACUGCGGUAAAACAGUGUCUUAUUCAGCGGUAAACGGUUUUAACAGACCCGCGGAGACGAGUUAUCUGCAGUUUUUCGGAUCAUUGUCGCCCAAAAGCACAGUUGUACCUACUGUCUUCUGUUGCCCAAAACAUCUGAGAAACCAGUAGAAGGUGUAGGACUUGACUGAAGAAGAUCCUUGGAGAGUGGUGGCAGAGGAUGCUUUCACAUCAUACAUGAGCAGCAACAACCUCGCUUCCUGGCUCUUGUAGACGCCUGUGAUGAUGAGCAGAGCACAGUCAGCCAUCUCAACUCCAUCAGUGAAACACAGCAGCAGCCCACAUCACCCAUCACCAUGGCCCCAGAAGCUGGUUGAGAGGGCUCGGAUCAUGGCAGACGUUGAUGCGUCCUGGCAGGGCUGCAUUGAGGAGGAGCACCUUUACCUGUCACUGGAGCGGCAGAUCAAGCACCAGCCAAUGCUCACUCACUCAUUCUAGGAGCUCCAGUGCUACUCCACUUUGAUCAAAAGUAGCCCAGAUUGUGCUUUGGCUCAGCGGUCGGGACUCACUCUUUCAUCUAACACUUUGAUUCAACUCUUACUGAUGAGUAUACAAGUGGUGCGGAAUCCUUUUUACGAUUAAGGAAAACUUCUUGAGCAAAAUGCUCCAUACUCCAUAAUGUAUAGUCUCAUUACCGCACAUAUUACAAGUUUCAGUUGCUGGGUAUUUGACUCUUAAUUAUUACACUAUUCUGUUAUAUUACGUGUUUUAAAAAGACACUUUAGAACCACUGCACAACAGUAUAACAAUUUCAAUAUCAACAGGUAACCCAUACUAGUACAUAGGACUGCAGCAACACACACCUGGAAUGGUGAGAAGCCAUCUCGGUGCCCAGUUUGGUGUUGUGCUCAACCUUAGUCAUAAAUGUGGUGGGAGUUUGCUCAGGGUUCCAGCAGUGGCAGCCAAAAAUAUGAAGACUUUAGGUAAAACAUGCUACAUAAACAAAAUAUUUUGGAUAUACCAGUUCUUACUCGGCCCACCGGACUGUCUUCCAGUACUGUUGAGUGGGGUGGGGGGUGAUUUAGAGCUAGUACUGGCUUCGUAAGUAGCCAAGUGUACUGUGUAAACAACAUUAGAGGAUGUAAUUACCGAAAUAAUUGUGAUUAUUCCGAAAGACAAAGAAUGGCAUGAUUAUGCAUAAAUAUACAAAAGAGCAUUUAAUCACAGCUAUACAAUUAAAAUGCUGCAAACUCUGUUUCUCCCUAUAGCUAUCCCAUUGCUCAAUCUCCUAAUUUUGCAAAACAAUGACAGUACACUGGGGUGAUGACAUAUGAAGCAAAAUGUAAUUAGCUUUUGAAAUGCUUGGGCUGAAUGGCAAUCUGUCUUGUGAAAUUGGGAGGCAGCUGUUUCCUCGUGCCAGCCCAGUCUCUCCAAGCUGUUUUAAUGCCGUUGAUUUUGGAGCUUGCACUGAUAGGCAGACAUGCUCUGAACGAGGGCUUCAAACCAUGGCACCGCCCAGCUAUACGCCACCAUUUGACCACCUCCCCAAAUCGUCUGGCCUCUCUCACAUUCUCUUGUAGGUAUAGGAAAACAGUCUUUCUUUCUUAAUCAAGGGCACAUAUAGGCCCCUUAAAAUCAGCAAAUGUUUAAAACACCAUAACCCAUCUCCGCAACCAUUACUGUAAAAAGUGCACAGCCUUAACCAACUUUACACACUGCAGAAAGUGUGUCAUGCAAAUGAAGUUUACUUCUGGUCCAAUUUCAUGGCACCCCAUCAUAAGCCUUAGGCACAUUUGAACCCAAUUUUAAGUACAAAGUGAGAACUAGAUUACUCUGAAAGCCUAGAUUUAAAGGGCAGAUUUCUUAUGUAAUUGAGAAUCAACACAGGCACCCACUGUGAAGAAAAAACAGAAAAUUAUCCACCUCUCAAUAUUCCAAUAAUACAAAUCAAUCUCUUAGCGCCUCUGAAUACACAUAUAUAC